Molecule: ribosomal RNA, 420 nt
Filed under: uncultured bacterium
Lineage: Bacteria
Description: bacterial SSU rRNA
Rfam family: Bacterial small subunit ribosomal RNA
Source: RNAcentral
GAACGCGAAGAACCUUACCAGGGUUUGACAUCCCGAGAAGAUUUACGAAAGUAGAUUGUGCCUUUUGGAACUCGGUGACAGAUGAUGCAUGGCCGUCGUCAGCUCGUGUCGUGAGAUGUUUGGUUAAGUCCAUCAACGAGCGCAACCCUUGUGAAUAGUUGAAUUUUUCUAUUCAGACUGCCCCGGCAACGGGGAGGAAGGAGGGGAUGAUGUCAGGUCAGUAUUUCUCUUACAUCCUGGGCUAGAAACGUGAUACAAUGGCAAGUACAAUGCGCAGCGAAGCCGCGAGGUGAAGCAAAUCGCACCAAAGCUUGUCCCAGUUCGGAUUGGAGGCUGAAACUCGCCUCCAUGAAGUCGGAAUCGCUAGUAAUCGCAGGUCAGCAAACUGCGGUGAAUACGUUCCCGGGUCUUGUACACACC